AACGAACGCUGGCGGCGUGGAUUAGGCAUGCAAGUCGUACGCGAAAGAGGGGGCAACCCCUUGAGUAGAGUGGCGAACGGGUGAGUAACGCGUGAGGAACCUGCCUUCGACAGGGGGAUAACACUCCCAACGGGGUGCUAAUACCGCAUGGUAUCGCCGGGUGGCAUCAUUUGGCGAUUAAAGGUGGGGACCGUAAGGCCUGCCACUUUGGGAUGGUCCCGCGUCUGAUUAGCUUGUUGGUGAGGUAACGGCUCACCAAGCCUUUGACGGGUAGCCACAAUGGCACUGAAACACGGGCCAUACUCCUACGGGAGGCAGCAGUGGGGAAUUUUGCGCAAUGGGCGAAAGCCUGACGCAGCAACGCCGCGUGUGCGAUGAAGGCCUUUGGGUCGUAAAGCACUGUCGGUCGGGACGAAAUCUCAUACGAUAACACCGUAUGAGUUUGACGGUACCGGCAAAGG
Molecule: ribosomal RNA, 461 nt
Filed under: uncultured bacterium
Lineage: Bacteria
Description: bacterial SSU rRNA
Rfam family: Bacterial small subunit ribosomal RNA
Source: RNAcentral